This 264-nucleotide signal recognition particle RNA is filed under the name Fusobacteriia bacterium 4572_132. RNAcentral describes it as "signal recognition particle sRNA large type". It matches the Rfam family "Bacterial large signal recognition particle RNA". Rfam says of the family: The signal recognition particle (SRP) is a universally conserved ribonucleoprotein involved in the co-translational targeting of proteins to membranes. Archaeal SRP consists of a 7S RNA and homologues of the eukaryotic SRP19 and SRP54 proteins. Lineage: Bacteria; Fusobacteriati; Fusobacteriota; Fusobacteriia. The record is from RNAcentral.
CCGUGCUAGAUGGGGAGGUAGCGGUUCCUUGUAACCUGUAAUCCGCUAUAACAGGAUUGAUGCCUAUAUAAGGGAAAGAUAGUGAAGACUGACUUUUAUUAAUCUAUGUUGAUGAAAGGGUCUUGUGCAAUAGGAAUUUGUGAACUGUGUCAGGUCUGGAAGGAAGCAGCACUAAGCAAACACUCCUAUGUGCCACGAGGUAGCCUUUUUUGAGUAGGUUGUAGAAGUAACGUUUGUUAUCUAUUUUCGAAUAUAGGUGCACGG